This 253-nucleotide ribosomal RNA is filed under the name uncultured bacterium. Its description in RNAcentral is "partial 16S ribosomal RNA". It matches the Rfam family "Bacterial small subunit ribosomal RNA", at positions 524 to 776 of the family's 1533-position model. The record is from RNAcentral.
UACGAAGGGGGCUAGCGUUGCUCGGAAUCACUGGGCGUAAAGCGCACGUAGGCGGAUUGUUAAGUCAGGGGUGAAAUCCUGGAGCUCAACUCCAGAACUGCCUUUGAUACUGGCGAUCUCGAGUCCGUGAGAGGUGAGUGGAACUGCGAGUGUAGAGGUGAAAUUCGUAGAUAUUCGCAAGAACACCAGUGGCGAAGGCGGCUCACUGGCCCGGUACUGACGCUGAGGUGCGAAAGCGUGGGGAGCAAACAGG